UACGAAGGGGGCUAGCGUUGCUCGGAAUUACUGGGCGUAAAGCGUGCGUAGACGGUCAUGUAAGUCGGAUGUGAAAGCCCCGGGCUCAACCUGGGAAUUGCAUUCGAGACUGCAUGGCUUGGGUGCGGAAGAGGGAAGCGGAAUUUCCGGUGUAGCGGUGAAAUGCGUAGAUAUCGGAAGGAACACCAGUGGCGAAAGCGGCUUCCUGGUCCGACACCGACGUUCAGGCACGAAAGCGUGGGGAGCAAACAGG
Molecule: ribosomal RNA, 253 nt
Filed under: uncultured bacterium
Lineage: Bacteria
Description: partial 16S ribosomal RNA
Rfam family: Bacterial small subunit ribosomal RNA
Source: RNAcentral